GAUUCCCCUAGUAACUGCGAGUGAAGCGGGAAAAGCUCAAAUUUAAAAUCUGGUAGUCUUUGGCUGCCCGAGUUGUAGUCUGGAGAAGCGUUUUCCGCGCUGGACCGUGUACAAGUCUCUUGGAACAGAGCGUCAUAGAGGGUGAGAAUCCCGUCUUUGACACGGACUACCAGUGCUUUGUGAUACGCUCUCAAAGAGUCGAGUUGUUUGGGAAUGCAGCUCAAAAUGGGUGGUAAAUUCCAUCUAAAGCUAAAUAUUGGCGAGAGACCGAUAGCGAACAAGUACCGUGAGGGAAAGAUGAAAAGCACUUUGGAAAGAGAGUUAAACAGUACGUGAAAUUGCUGAAAGGGAAACGCUUGAAGUCAGUCGCGUUGUUCAGAACUCAACCUGGCUUUUGCUUGGUGCAUUUUCUGUUGAACGGGCCAACAUCAGUUUUGAUUGCUGGAAAAAAGCCUUUGGAAUGUGGCACCUUCGGGUGUGUUAUAGCCUUUGGUUGUAUACAGUGAUUGGGACUGAGGACCGCAGCACGCCUUAUGGCCGGGGUUCGCCCACGUACGUGCUUAGG
This 565-nucleotide ribosomal RNA is filed under the name Ceriporiopsis guidella. RNAcentral's name for it is "eukaryotic LSU rRNA". It matches the Rfam family "Eukaryotic large subunit ribosomal RNA", at positions 73 to 621 of the family's 3401-position model. Lineage: Eukaryota; Fungi; Basidiomycota; Agaricomycetes; Polyporales; Meruliaceae. The record is from RNAcentral.